GCGAACCUUUGCUGUAUUUUUUGUGGCUCGUAAUUUAAAGUAGAGACUAACACUUGUCGCUCAACAGAGGUUAGAGAAAGAUAGGCCUACCGUAAACUGUAAAAUUGUCGUCCAAUUGUAAAGAACGAUUUAGUAGGGAGCCACAUGCAGUUAAUCGAACGAACAAUAUAAUACGCAAUAUUGUCAAUGAUGUUGGGUAGUACUCAUGGCCUAAUAACUUUUUAGGCAUUCACGAAAUCGAUGAGAACAUAGCCGUUCAGCUGUUACGGGCGGCCGCUGGUGACGAUGUAACCCAUCUGCAGGUGGAAGACAAAGGCCGAACGACGCAGUACAAAAUUCUCAAAUACCAUGAACAACAGAUUGAAGAUGACGGGGAGGCUACAGCGAUGGGCGCAGAAGCCGACGAAAGCGAAGGGCACGUCGCUACAAUGGAGUCUGGCGUCGAAGGCGAGCCCCUAGUGGGUAAACCGAAUGAGGACGUACACCACCACCUUGUUGAGCAAACAGCCGAUACCUGCGAAAAGGUAAUUAAAGUACAACUAAUUAAUGGUUUACAGUAUGGACUAACCUAGUAAAAAGUACUGAUCGUUGUUUGGCCAGUUUAGGCAAGAAUAUGAGAAAAAACUGGCUGAAUACCAAUAUUUGGGGAUGAAAUUGUCUAAUGAGCACGACUUUUUGGGUUUACGAAACCUGUUGUUCAAUUCGUAUUUCUAGGAGCAUCUAUAAACAGGAGGCUUAACCUAUUUACUCCCAAUAAUAUAAUAUUAAAGCUCGUGGUAUCUAUGGCAUCAACUGCUUUUUCAUUGUGAAAAAUGGCGCCACUAAACAACAACACCGUAUGCCUCUACCCUGCUUAAGCUCCACUACCAUAAAAAGUACACAUAGUGUGAAGCGUACAAUCGUAACAGUGCGGUAGUGAUCAAUAAGACACUACCGCAAUUUGCGAUCACUGGCUUCAUCCCCAAAAGAUCGUGGAUAUUACUACCACAGUAGCUGAAGAAGACUAUUUCGAGUUCUAUUUCGAGUUACUGCCUCAGAAAUGACUUACAUCAAAAGGCUUCAUUCUCGAUCGGACCUUUCAAGCAAUAUUAUUGGCGGUACUUAGUUACCAUAGGAAAAACACAAUUGAGAGCUAUAUAAAAAAAAUUUUUAGAAUCAGUAGAAACUUUCCACAACAAGAACAACAGUAACACAACACCCGCGUGGCAGUCAACUGUUACUGGCCGAGAAAAAGGAGAGGAAUAGAUGUUUCUUCUCUCUGCCCCCGCAGAGAGCUGAGGCAUCGACAUGCAGCCUUAGAACAAAACUUGGAAGUAAAACACCAGCUUGUGUUCACGCAUCAUGGCGUCAAUACCUUAAGCAAAAAAGGGCUCUCCAUUCAACCGCCGUUGGUUUUUCAAAAACAAUUAAAGACCAAAACAAGUUAUAUUUUAGAGAUUUCUGAGAAUGCGCUUACAACUCAGUCUGUUUGUUCUAGAUUUACCUAAAGUAGAAUGGCGUAAGGAAAGUAAUUACUAGUAUGUAACUUGCUUCCUGUAAAUGCAUAGCUAAUGUAUAUUCGUAAUGAUUACAGAUCGUAAUGUCGGAUGUGACAGAAGCCCACGGAGCUAUUGAAGCAUCUGCUGUCGCUGGAACCCAGCUUGAAGACUCCGGCGCCACUAUGAUGGAGCAGCUAGGAACGGUAGCAGAACCGGGCGGUGUUUCCAAAGACCGAACUCAGACGGAGAUGAUCCUUGAAGAGCCUGAAGACGGUACACAGGACGCCUCCCAAGGCCAACAACAGCAUCAAGGUGAAUAGCUAAAUUAAGUAGAGUAUGGCAGAGAGAGAGGAUGACGUUAUGUGCAUAGCUUCUGUAUCACUACACGUUCAAUAUUUGUAUAUAUUUGAAUUUUUGAAGAACAACUAUUUGUAAAUACAGCUAGAAUAUUUUCAGCAGUAGUUUCCAACCUAUGUUAACCUAACGCAAAUGAAAGGAAAAGGCUACUCCUCUAAUGAGAAAUAAAAACAUCGAAAUAUAGGCGGUACAUUCUGUCUUCAAGGGACCGAAUACACUUAAUGUCUUAAAAUACAUAGUUUACUGGUCUAAAAAUACUGUCUUAAGAAAUCCGAGCGCUUUGACAUUAGCUUUAUGUGGUACUUUUUACAAUGUGGCAGCAGAAUGGCCGCCAUCGUAAGUCGAGUUUUUAGUUCUGGAAGAACGAUGGCGUUAGAUUUUGGUGUCUGUAUAUGUCUCCAUGAAAUUAAAAUGGUUUUGCGGGUGUAACGCACGCCGUUGUUCAAUGGGAAUCAGUCAUUUAAAGUAGUCAUCAAUAGCAGUGCCGGACGUGGCAUUUAUUUGAAUAUGCAAUAGCUAGUAUAGAGCGGUUGCGCAACUCUUAUUUUCUGUGUUUUAGAAAAAAACAUAAUAAUUGCGUGAUUUAUAUUUAAAACAUAAUUAGGUGGAGUGUUUGACUGCGGCUGUACAUCCUGUCAAAAAAUAACUCAGGUGUUCCAAGGCCAGCUUUGCAAAAACAGAAAUCUCACAUAGAACGAAAGAGCAAAUGCUGGCUUGACUUUAGCUUUCACUACAAGUAUAGACCGCGAAAGCGAGGUUCCAGGACCUUUUUUUUUAGGAAUUAUAAGCAAGAGGUGUCAAUUAUCACAGAGAUAACUGGCUUGUGGCGACCAAGCGUUCAUUGCAAUGUCGCUUUUUGAUCCUUCGGUGUCGGCUCUUCCUAUCAUUGCGAAACAGAUUUCGCCCAGUGUUGGGUUGUUUAUUCACCAAUGGGAAAUGUGAGGUGGGUUCAAAUCGUCGUGAGACAGGUUAGUCUUACCCAACUGUUCGUAAUUGUUACGGUGAUGUUGAUUCUGCUUAGUAUGAGAGGCACAAUAGGUUUAGAGAAUUGGUUUUAUGUUUGACUGAAAAAUCAGAGGUACUAAACUACCAUCGAGUGGAUUAUGACCCCGCGAAUUUAAGAAUAGUCAUAUCAUAAUAAAUACCACAGUUUUCCUUCCAACUUUCUUGUCGGCGCUUAUUUUUAUUCCUAACACCGGAUUAAUAUUGUUCCCAUGCACGUCUGCAAAGUGGGUACUAAGUGAAUAACUUCAACGACGAAACGGAGUCACCCCGUACAUAGUAUUACGUUUGUCUAUCUUUC
Molecule: ribosomal RNA, 3138 nt
Filed under: Varroa destructor (honeybee mite)
Lineage: Eukaryota; Metazoa; Arthropoda; Arachnida; Mesostigmata; Varroidae
Description: eukaryotic LSU rRNA
Rfam family: Eukaryotic large subunit ribosomal RNA (bases 2345-3138)
Source: RNAcentral